This 383-nucleotide ribosomal RNA is filed under the name uncultured fungus. RNAcentral describes it as "partial small subunit ribosomal RNA". It matches the Rfam family "Eukaryotic small subunit ribosomal RNA", at positions 30 to 432 of the family's 1831-position model. The record is from RNAcentral. Lineage: Eukaryota; Fungi.
GCUUGUCUCAAAGAUUAAGCCAUGCAUGUCUAAGUAUAAAUGGUAUACAGUGAAACUGCGAAUGGCUCAUUAAAACAGUUAUAGUUUAUUUGGUAUUCGAAUUUACAUGGAUAACCGUGGUAAUUCUAGAGCUAAUACAUGCAUUACGCCUGACUUUUCGGAAGGGCAGUAUUUAUUAGAUACAAACCAACAUCGUGGUGAUUCAUAAUAACUUUGCGAAUCGUAUGCCUCACGGCGACGAUGAAUCAUUCAAAUUUCUGCCCUAUCAGCUUUCGACGGUAGUGUAGUGGACUACCGUGGCGCUAACGGGUGACGGAGAAUUAGGGUUCGGUUCCGGAGAGGGAGCCUGAGAAACGGCUACCACAUCCAAGGAAGGCAGCAGG